RNAcentral lists this ribosomal RNA (497 nucleotides) under uncultured bacterium. Its description in RNAcentral is "partial 16S ribosomal RNA". It matches the Rfam family "Bacterial small subunit ribosomal RNA", at positions 28 to 507 of the family's 1533-position model. The record is from RNAcentral.
GAUGAACGCUGGCGGCGUGCCUAAUACAUGCAAGUCGAGCGAACGGACGAGAAGCUUGCUUCUCUGCUGUUAGCGGCGGACGGGUGAGUAAUACGUGGAUAACCUAUCUAUAAGACUGGGAUAACUUCGGGAAACCGUAUCUAACACCGGACAAUAGUUUGAACCGCAUGGUUCAAAAGUGAAAGACGGUCUUGCUGUCACUUAUAGAUGGUUCCGCGCUGCAUUAGCUAGUUGGUAAGGUAACGGCUUACCAAGGCAACGAUGCGUAGCCGACCUGAGAGGGUGAUCAGCCACACUGGAACUGAGACACGGUCCAGACUCCUACGGGAGGCAGCAGUGGGGAAUCUUGCGCAAUGGGCGAAAGCCUGACGGAGCAACGCCGCGUGAGUGAUGAAGGUCUUCGGAUCGUAAAACUCUGUUAUUAGGGAAGAAGGUAUGUGUGAGAAUCUCUGGAUGUCUUGACGGUACCUAAAGAGAAAGCCACGGCUAACUUCGUG